RNAcentral lists this transfer RNA (66 nucleotides) under Ovis aries (sheep). It matches the Rfam family "tRNA". Rfam says of the family: Transfer RNA (tRNA) molecules are approximately 80 nucleotides in length. The record is from Rfam by way of RNAcentral. Lineage: Eukaryota; Metazoa; Chordata; Mammalia; Artiodactyla; Bovidae.
CUUGACUCAUAAGGUAAAGAAUCUGUCUGCAAAGCAGGAGACCUGGGUUCAAUCCCUGGGUCAGGA